Molecule: non-coding RNA, 300 nt
Organism: Nomascus leucogenys (northern white-cheeked gibbon)
Lineage: Eukaryota; Metazoa; Chordata; Mammalia; Primates; Hylobatidae
Rfam family: Metazoan signal recognition particle RNA
About the family: The signal recognition particle (SRP) is a universally conserved ribonucleoprotein. It is involved in the co-translational targeting of proteins to membranes.
Source: Rfam
GUGGGGCAUGGUGGCACAUGCUUGUAGUCCCAGCUACUCAGCGGGCUUAGGCGUGAGGAUCGCUUGAGCCCAGGAGUUCUGAGCUGUAGUGCGCUAUGCCCAUCGGAUGUCUGCAUUAAGUGCAGCAUCAAGAUGGUGACCUCCCCGGGGGUGGGGACCACCAGGUUGCCUAAGGAAGGGUGAACAGGCCCAGGUCUGAAACGGAACAGGUCAAAACUCCCAUGCUAAUCAGUAGUGGGAUUGUGCCUGUGAAUAACCACUGCACUCCAGCCUGGGCAACAUGGCCAGACCUCAUCUCAA